Molecule: long non-coding RNA, 1945 nt
Filed under: Nicotiana tabacum (common tobacco)
Lineage: Eukaryota; Viridiplantae; Streptophyta; Magnoliopsida; Solanales; Solanaceae
Description: long non-coding RNA (NTAB_LNC006200)
Source: RNAcentral
AAUUACGUGUAUAUUACAGAAGGCCGCCUAUCUAAUGUUCUUAAUUCUCCCAAAAGUCCUACUCGUGAUCUCUCCCCUUUCCUCAAACACAAAAUCACGAUUGCCAUCUUUUUAUAUUCGCGAAAUUGUCGAGGCGUCGUGAAACUACAGCAUCCUAAUGAGAUUUUUCUUCUGGACUCGCUUCAUAUACCUUUCAAGCGUUCCAAUCAAUUCAUCUCGAAGUUCAUAGUCGCGCUCGAUUAGCGGAUAAGCCAAUUCCAGCAUGACGCAGAGAAUCGAAAGGGGAGAUGACCUGGUUGGUGUUAGACUAUUCUAGAAUUCUAAACAUUACCAAAAUUUAGGCCUCCUUUCAUACACCAUCGGCUGUCAUAUCUAAUCUGUUCUCUAGUCAAUAAUACCAUUGUUGAUAAUUCUCGAUAUUUUAGUCAAGGUUACUAAGUUUCGGGUAAGUUCUAUUCACCUAUGAUUCGGUGCUAUUCUCGAUUGAAAUUCUGGUUGUCUGCCUUUAAAAUGGUUGCAAACUUUUGUUCCAUCCUAUUCUAUUCCUACCAACUGUUUGAUUAAAUGCUUUAGAGGAUUAAUUAACAUUUAUUGGAUUUGCACUUUCGUAGCUAAUCAUUUUUCUCAUAACUAGAGAGAAACGAAUUUAUUUUUAUCAGUAUAGCAGCUUGAUUAUAAUCCUUUUACAUUUCUCAAAAAAAGGAAUAUAAUUCUUUUGUAUAGAUGACAUUCUCAUAACUACUUGAGGUUGUAUAAGUACACUUCAUGAUUUGUCUACCAUUCCAUUCUUCUUCAUAUGCUACGUGUGACACUAGUUGAGGCUAUCUAAGUACUGCCCCUUGACACUAUGUUAACGAUACCUGUUGCACUUGCAACAGCAGAGCUUCAUUAUGAAGCACCGAGCUGGAAAUUGUAGUACUACAUCUCUUGGUAAGAAGUUAAACAAAUCAAAUAUCAAAAGUCAGCCCUUUUGCUGCAUCUUUUCAUGUUGAAAUAAUUUUGUAUGGUACUGAUUAGAUUAUUGACAUUGCUUGGGUGUUCAAUUUGUUCUUACAACUACAGAACCUGAAAUUCAUUUACCACAUACGACAUACUGAUGCACCAGUCGAUGCAAAAGGUAAUUAAUCAAAUUAUAGGACAAUCUUUGCAUCAAUAGAUAGUUUAUUUAAUUAUUUAUUCCCGACACCUACUCUAUAUUGAUCCAGUGAAAUGAUACUCUAUAAUCUAAUUAUUUGUUUCACUGUAAAAGACCUAAGACUAAGAUAUAAUGUAACACUGCAGACUAAUAUUUGUAAUAUUGUUUCUCUUUGCUUUAGCUUACAGAAAGCAUUAUCCAUCAUUCUUGGAAUAAUGAAAUAUGAUGGUUAGAAAAAGAUUGCUCAAGAUGUGUAUCCACCUAAACGGCUGGCUGAGAAGGGAAUAUCAUUUGUGAAAAACUUCCUUCAGCUGUAUGUAACUCCAUCUCUAUUAAUGGAAUGAUCUUUUCCAUAAGCUAAUGAUGCUGAAUUUAUACAUUUCUCUUGAGCUUCUAAUAUUGAAUCGUUUUUAUGUUUUCUUGCAGAAGGUAGGAACCACAUGACUUAUCUAUACUUCUUCAAGAUAGUGUACGAGGUACAAUCAUGUUAUUCUUUCCGCUACUUAGUAGUUUCCUAAAUUACCUUAGUGAUGAUUCCAUUCUUUUUUUGUUUCAGUUCUUGGAACAACACCUUAGAGAAUAUGAGCAACUAAUAUAAAGGAAUCCUCCACUUGGGAAAGCAUGGACACUAAAGCUUUUCCAUCAAAAGGACGAUACUAAAGCUAUGACUGGGUAGAUUGUUAUGGAAGUUUAAGGGAAAAGUUAUGUAAUUGUAUGUGAAGUAACUCUGUAUUUGAUUCAAAUUGUUUGUAAUAUACUGAAAGUAUUGAAAUAAGAAUAGAUGUUAUUGUGAAUAAAUUGUUGUUACUU